GCCAGGUGUGGUGGCGUGUGCCUGUAAUCCCAGCUACUCGGGAGGCUGAGGCAGGAGAAUCGCUUGAACCUGGGAGGUAGAGGUUGCAGUGAGCUGACAUUGCGCCACUGCACUCCAGCCUGGGUGACAGAGUGAGAUCCUGUCUCAG
This is an unclassified non-coding RNA of Macaca mulatta (Rhesus monkey), 148 nucleotides long. It matches the Rfam family "Metazoan signal recognition particle RNA". From Rfam's summary of the family: The signal recognition particle (SRP) is a universally conserved ribonucleoprotein. NCBI's taxonomy places the organism in Eukaryota, Metazoa, Chordata, Mammalia, Primates, Cercopithecidae. The record is from Ensembl.